CGAUCAUUACAAUGAUUCAUGAUCUAAUCUAAUCCAGGUUUAGGACACGCCGCUAAAGACAAUAAAGAAGAGGGACCAACUCAAUCACACAAUGAUGGGCUCUUUGGGGAUAAGAUUAAUGGUUGAAACAUUAUGGAGAGAAAUAAAGUAUACAGUUGGCUUUUGAUGUUCUCAUGUAGUGGCUAGUGCAUCAUCAUUCCCGUGGUGACCCCCAAGAACAAAGAAGAAGAAGAAGAGCAUAUAAAUUUGGAAGAAGAGUAAAUCUUCAGAAAAGCUAAAUCAAAGCACUUUUGGACUUUGCUUCAGCUUCAACUUCAAACUUUGAUCAUCCACAUAUAUAGAGCCAGGAAAUGGCCAAGGACAAAGGGAUUAUGAAAGUUGAAAUUCCUGCCGAUGGCAAUUCUGCGGCGGAAACUGGCUCUGGUGGGUUAUCUCGUCAGACAAGCAUGAAUAAGACCAACUGCCUUUGCUCGCCAACCACUCACCCUGGUUCUUUCCGGUGUAGGAUGCACCGGACUCUUUCACUACCGCGUACCAAGAGUAUCGAGGCAGCAUCUCUAUCGGAUCCUUCAUCCAAGCCAGCGAGCCGCUAAAUAGAUAUCUAUGGCAUGGCAACUGCUUGUUGUUGUUACUUGUACUUCAAUCAAUAAAUGGUGAAAUAGGUUUGUUUUCAACAAUAUGUAUUAAUUGUAACCAUGAAGGGUUUGAGCUAAUGGUUCCUAAAAAGGUGAAUAUAAACUCCCCUUCCAUCCUCUUUGGGAAGAGAUUAAAACUCUCUCCACCUACGCAUAUAUAAUGUAAAGAUUUAGAUGUUGUUACUCUUAUAUUUUUAGUACA
Capsella rubella is the source of this 837-nucleotide long non-coding RNA. RefSeq lists it as uncharacterized. NCBI's taxonomy places the organism in Eukaryota, Viridiplantae, Streptophyta, Magnoliopsida, Brassicales, Brassicaceae. The record is from RefSeq and is a predicted model, not a curated record. The transcript has 2 exons.